AAUGAACGUUGGCGGCGUGGAUUAGGCAUGCAAGUCGUACGGGCCGCAAGGCCAGUGGCGCAAGGGUGAGUAAGGCGACGGUAACCAACCCCGGGAGUGGGUAUAGCCGCGGGAAACUGCGGGUAAUCCCCAGCGAUGUCCCGAGAAGACAUCUUCUUGGGACCAAAGCUCCGGCGUCCUGGGACGGGCCGUCGUGGUAUUAGGUGGUUGGCGGGGUAACGGCCCACCAAGCCUGCGAUGCCUACCGGGCGUGCGAGCGUGGCCCGGCACACUGGGA
RNAcentral lists this ribosomal RNA (277 nucleotides) under uncultured bacterium. Its description in RNAcentral is "partial 16S ribosomal RNA". It matches the Rfam family "Bacterial small subunit ribosomal RNA", at positions 28 to 318 of the family's 1533-position model. The record is from RNAcentral.